AUUGAACGCUGGCGGCAUGCUCUACACAUGCAAGUCGAACGGUAACAGGCCGCAAGGUGCUGACGAGUGGCGGACGGGUGAGUAAUGCAUCGGAACGUGCCCAGUCGUGGGGGAUAACUACUCGAAAGAGUAGCUAAUACCGCAUACGAUAUAUGGAUGAAAGCGGGGGACCGUAAGGCCUCGCGCGGUUGGAGCGGCCGAUGUCAGAUUAGGUAGUUGGUGGGGGAAAGGCUCACCAAGCCAACGAUCUGUAGCUGGUCUGAGAGGACGACCAGCCACACUGGGACUGAGACACGGCCCAGACUCCUACGGGAGGCAGCAGUGGGGAAUUUUGGACAAUGGGCGCAAGCCUGAUCCAGCAAUGCCGCGUGCAGGAAGAAGGCCUUCGGGUUGUAAACUGCUUUUGUACGGAACGAAACGGCUCUGGUUAAUACCCGGGGCUAAUGACGGUACCGUAAGAAUAAGCACCGGCUAACUACGUG
This 482-nucleotide ribosomal RNA is filed under the name uncultured bacterium. RNAcentral's name for it is "partial 16S ribosomal RNA". It matches the Rfam family "Bacterial small subunit ribosomal RNA", at positions 30 to 507 of the family's 1533-position model. The record is from RNAcentral.